Solea solea (common sole) is the source of this 361-nucleotide long non-coding RNA. RefSeq lists it as uncharacterized. The record is from RefSeq and is a predicted model, not a curated record. Lineage: Eukaryota; Metazoa; Chordata; Actinopteri; Pleuronectiformes; Soleidae. The transcript has 3 exons.
CAGGGUGAUCAAACCUUAUUGGUGAGGUUAAUGUUGCAGCCGCCGUGCAGCAGAGUGUGGAUGACGGGGAUGUGACUGUGGAUCACCGCCAGGUGAAGAGGAGUCUCCAGACCCAACAGGAAACAUGACUGAAAGUGUUCCACCGCCGCCCAGCUCGUCUUCACUUACCUGAUUCUGGAAGUCGGCGUGCGUGUUGUAGUCUAAGAGGAUCUGGACCAGAGACGUGUCUCCUCUCUCGGAGACCGCAUGGAGUGCGCUGCUUUUCGUCUACGAGAAAGAGAAGGUCCGACUCCAGAUGAGGUUAUGUGCGUGACCAUCACCUGAGGAACUUGUCGAUGGUGUUGACACGACCUAUGACUUU